This 292-nucleotide ribosomal RNA is filed under the name uncultured bacterium. RNAcentral describes it as "partial 16S ribosomal RNA". It matches the Rfam family "Bacterial small subunit ribosomal RNA", at positions 505 to 796 of the family's 1533-position model. The record is from RNAcentral.
GUGUCAGCCGCCGCGGUAAUACAGAGGUGGCAAGCGUUGUUCGGAAUUACUGGGCGUAAAGGGCGCGUAGGCGGUUCGUUAAGUCCCGCGUGAAAUCCCCCGGCUCAACCGGGGAAUGGCGUGGGAAACUGGCGGGCUUGAGUUCGGGAGAGGGAAGCGGAAUUCCGGGUGUAGCGGUGAAAUGCGUAGAUAUCCGGAGGAACACCGGUGGCGAAGGCGGCUUCCUGGACCGACACUGACGCUGAGGCGCGAAAGCUAGGGGAGCAAACGGGAUUAGAAACCCCGGUAGUCC